CUUCACUCUGAAAGCCGGUAUAUGUGUGGGGGCGAGGUUAUAUCUCCGGAGAUGCCCUUCAGGCGGCACGGAAGGGGAAAUUGUCAGAGGCAGGGAGGUAAGGCUCGUGAUAGUUCCUUCCUGGAACGGGAUUUCAAAGGCCCCAUCGUGUACUGGGGGAAAGGGGGGGCUGGAUAUCACGCGAUGACUUUGAUCGGUUCGGGAUUUGGGAGUUCGCGGAAGGGAAACAGGUGGAUCUCGCGAGCUUUGAGGGUUAAUUUUCAGCGCGUGGAGCUAGUCUCAUGAGGAGCGUGGGGGCUGCUGGGAGCUCGGUUGGCUCGCGACCUGCUAACGCUGACCGAGACUUCUGCGGCUUUGAAUAUCUUUCUUCCUUGAAACUUCAGAGCAUGAGAGAAGGGAUGCCUAAUUAUCACACACAGAAUUCAUGCAUACAUGAGAGGCUCAUUUGCAAGAUAACUAUCUCAUAUUUAAAGAAGGGAAAGUCAUUCCCAGCUUUGUUUUUGGCAGCUGAGUUCCCUGAAGUGAUAACGAACAUCUACAGUCCAAACAGCAGAAUACUGGUAACUGUUAGAAGAUAAUAUAUACUGUUCCUUUAAAAAUCAUUGCUUAGUUAUUCCUUCAGUAUUUUUAAUGUCUAGUAGAGAUGAGGAAAAAGAUAUAUAAUGGUGAGAGUGAACUUUUUUGUUUGUGUGCGUGCAUAUGUGUAUAUAUAUAUGCGUGUGUGUAUGUAUUAAUAUGAGCAUUUUAGCAUUAUAAGAUGGAUUUGAAAGUUGACUUUUGGGUUAAAAAAAUGCUGCUAAUGUUCAAGACCUGUCCAGCUUGUAAUUUUAAAACAUGCCAAAUUCUUUGCCUGGUAAUCAGUUUCAAGUUGCUUUAUAUGAGUUUGGGGGGAGUUGAGAUAUGCCAUCUUCUGCUGUCAUAAAUGUCGUCAUGUCAAGGAAAAGUUUUGCUCACAAGAGUCUCUUUUAUUAUUUUUUUUUAAAGAAAUUAAUUUUUUUUGGUUUAAAUGACCUAGUGCAAUUUACCUAGAAAGCCAGGAAGUACAGGGUUUUUAAUACUUCUAAUUCUGAACUGCACAGACAUUUGUGAAUUGCUUACUGCACUUUUUUACUCUUACGGAAGAGGAAAAUUCAUGUAGAUUUUAAAGAUUCUUGAUGAAGAUAAAUGGGAGGGGACUAGAUAGCAGAAAAGAAAAAUUGGAAGAACAAAAGAUUCUAUUGCGGUGACUGCUCUUAUAAUGCUAUAGUUAAAGUUUUGUCAGCAUUUCUCUUACAAAAUCUUUAUCCUGCUAUAGAAUUUUACUCUGGGCUAAAAUAUAACUGACGUAAUACAAGGUUAGUCCAUUUUUGGGUCCAAUGCUACAAAAUGUACAGAUGCUUACAAAACUUCAGUGGGACUGCUUAUCUGAGGAAUAUGGGAUGGAUUUCAUCCUUACAGCUUUUCUUUUGAAUAUCUGUAAAAUUUUUAUCUGUGCUUGGAAGGUUUAGAUUUUUUUUAUCAGUAAAUGUCAGUAAGUGUUGAUUCACUGUAAACACACAAACUAAUUAAAAGUAUUUCCAUAAAUGAUCAAAAUUUACAAAGUAAGAAAAAUGCUGCUUGACAGCUUGUUAAUUUGAUUUGAGGAAAUUUACUUUGUAUAUUUUGAUAUGAUGCGGACAAUUUGUAUUUUAACCAUUAUAAAGCUUUGAAGUUUUGAAUCACAGCAUCUACAGUUGUUAAAUAAUUGUCUGCCCUCCCAAUUGUGUGACCCCUCCCUGUAAUUUCUCACAACUUUGAAAAUUUUAAAUCAAAAAAAAUCUUAAAUGCUUAAAAAUAAACACCUAUCAAAAUCAACAAAAUUCUGAUAAGCUUAAAUAUCUGUCUAGCCACUUUUUUUAAAAAAAUUUUGAACGUUUUACAAAUACCUCACAUUUCUAAAGCACUGCUCUUUAUGGUAAUACAAAUAAUAAUAAUGGAGACUAGUGUUGCAGCCCUAGUCAUGGACAAGACCCUAUUGUACUAUGCUCUGUAUAGACUCAAAAAGAUGGUCUCUGCCCCAAACAGCUUAUUAUCUGAGUAUGAGAUGAUAUAACAGAUGGAUACAGCCACACAAAACUGUAAGAGUACAGCGAAACAAUAUGGGUCAGCAUGGUAAGUAGUGGUCUCAGCACACCCACAGCCUAACAGUUGUCAAAUUUUUUGUAGGCAUCAAAGAGAAGAAGAGUUCUCAGGAAGAUAAUUAGUUAGGUUUUUUUGUGAAUGUUUGCAGCAUGCAAAAAAUCAUGGAAGUGGUUGCUUGAAAGUGUUACAAGUGGGCAAGGGGAACUGGCAGUAUUGGUGGACAGGAGGCAGGAGUUGACAAGUUGAUCAUAAAUCAGAAGAUAGGGUGGGGAUAAUGUGUGAAGGCUUUGAAAAUGAACACACAUAAAUUAUGCAUGAUGAGAGAGAGAACCAGUGGUCCUUUAUAGUCCUGACUUCGAACAUGAAAUGCAUGCUGAGUGAUUUGCUGCAUUGGCCUUAAUGCAAAGUCCCUUGAUUUAAAACCAACAGAGAUUUAGGUGUGUGAGUUUUUCUUAGCUUGGAAGGGAAACUAGGCAAAUGCAUCUUCCCACUACAAGCAUACAGGCCUGGUCUGAGGUAAUCCCCUUCCCUGAUACACAGGUGCCGACUUUCCACUGACUCGGGGGGACAGAGGGUGCUCAAUGCUCGGCACUGCCCCCACUCCACCCCUUACUCCAAGGCCCUACCUCUGCCCCGCCUCUCUCCAGCUCCGACUUGCCGCCUCCUUCCUGCCAGCGCACCAUGUCCUCGCUCCUAUCCCUCCUUUAGCCUCCUGCAUGCCCUGAAAUAGCUGUUUGCAGCAGGCAGGAGGGAGGGAGGGAGAGGCACUGAUCAAUGGAGCCCACCGGCAAACAUUGAAGGGGAAGGAGAGAGCUGAUGUGGGACUGCUGGUGAGUGCUCAGCGCCCACCAUUUUUUCCCUGUGGAUGCUCCAGCCCCAGAGCACCCAUGGAGUGACGAGGCAAGAAAGACUAUAGCCUGGCUGUGUGCUAGCUCAGCCUAUCCUGAGGACAGUUGGUCCAGGGAUGGAGAGAUUUGUACCUUCUCUGAUUAUCUACUCAUCUAUUUAGGUGGGGCUCAAAUUUUUUUUGUUUAUAAUUUCUUUUUAUUCAGCCAUUGCUGGAUGUUUGUCAGAGGUCAGUUAAAAAGAACUGGUAUAUAAGGCUAGACCUGUAUUAUGUGUAUGUAAUUUUGGCAGCAGUGGGAAAGGGAGCAAUAGGAAGGAAAGGAUGAGAGUUGAGAUCUAAAAAUCUUUAAACAAACACUGAACUUAGUCAAUAUUCAUAAUAAAGGACUCAAAAUUCAGUCACCACCCUGUAAGAACAUGAUUAUGGUACGUUUAGAUGAACUGGUAACUUGAAAUAUUUUAUGGAUUUUGUGUUUAUUGAGGAAAUGUAAUAAAUAACAUGAGAACAUUUGUGUAUGUCUAAGAAUAUUUAUUUUAUCAUGGUUCCUAGUUUUUUCCCUUCUCUGCCCUCCUUUCGAUUUUUUUUAUGAUGCUAUUAGUGGACAGCUCAAUAUUUACUGUAAAUGGAAACACACAUUUAUUUAUGGUAGCACCCAGAACCCCCAUUUGUGAUUGGGGGCCAUUGUGUUCAAUAAUGUAAAAACCUAGGUAAAAGGCAAUUUCUGCCCUGAAGGGCUAUGGUACAGGCUUAAUAUUUCAAAGUACAAUAAAGCUGGUAAAUACAGAGGGGCAGAGAAAUUAAAUUCUAGGUACUUAAGAAUGAGGAUGACAUUAGAGUUGGAGGGAAGCUCUUUUUGACCAAAACAGUAUAAGAAAACUGCCUCUUCACUGGUGCCUAAUUCACAUCACUCUAAAAUGUCAGAUCUCCCAUAUGUUAUAUAAGGAUUGCUGUCAAGAGAGAGAAAACAAAGUAAUAAAACACCUCAUAGUUAAAUGUAAAAUUGGAAACCUAGUGUGAAUUGGCAACAUUCACAGAUUUGAUGGGGCAUAAAUCCCACUUCUUGUUCUGCUGAAGACAAAUCCUGUUUUCUCCCCUGCUCCCAGUCCCCUGACUGCUCUAACCCCUCUCUCUCUCUAUCAUAUUCAUUCUCUCUCUCUCUCUCACACACACACACACACACACACACACACACACACACACACACACACACACACACACACACACACACACACACACGACUCCCACGCUUAUCCAACUCCUCCCUGACCGCUCCCUAGAACCUCCGCCCCAUCCAACUGCCCCCUGUCUCUUAUCCAACCCCCGGACCCCUUACUAUGCCAUUCAGAGCAGCAUGUCUGGUAGCCGCCCUGCCCUGCCCUGACGUUCUGCUCGACAGGAACGCACAACCUUGCUACCCAGAGUGCUGUGCGUGCGGUUGCAUGGCUGUGGGGGAGAGGGGACAGCAGGGGAAGGGCCGGGGUUAGCCUCCCGGGCCGGGAGCUCUGGGGCCAGGCAGGAUGGUCGCCCGCAGGCCGUAGUUUGCCCACCUCUGUGCUAGUGUGCUGUCUCAUGGGUUAUUCCUUAUGAGAGAAUACAUAUGAAUGUAAGAAAUGUAGAACACACUGUUUUACUCCUAAUUUUUUGUUUGUUCCUCAUCACAGCUCUCUGUCCCUGUCACUCCAGUAGAACUAAAAUGAAAGGUUUGAAAAAUCACAUGGUGAUUGCAAGCAUGAAGCUUUCUAGCAUAUGGGUCCUAUGCAGAAUUGAAGGUUUCAUUGUGCAACUGCCUAUCAUGGCAAAGAAAAUCUUCCAACCCUGAACCACUAUAAUACUAUCUUCUGAAAUCUACGGAGUGAGCUUCUGUACCUCUGCUGUUAAUAGUUCAAGCUGCAGCUUGCACUGAAAGCUGAUCAGAAUUGUGUUCGUUUUCACUGUAGCUUUUCAAAAUCCUGUAGACAGCAGUAAAACUGAGAAGAAUUACAUCUGUUUACUCUGCUGUUUGAGAAGAGCUGAGCAGCAGCAGCAAGGGCAGGAAUUGGAGCUGUUCACUGAGACGGACUUUUGGGUUUAGGUGAAGGGGGAGAGGUAGAGCAGUGAAGAACCACCCACAUCUCCCAGCAACCAGGAGUCUGGGGGUGGGAAGAAGCAAGGGGGGGAUGAGGAGCAGGAGAAGGAGAAGGUGCUUCUCUUGCAGCAACUGAAAAGGGAAGGC
Molecule: long non-coding RNA, 5159 nt
Filed under: Gopherus evgoodei (Goodes thornscrub tortoise)
Lineage: Eukaryota; Metazoa; Chordata; Testudines; Testudinidae
Description: lncRNA (ENSGEVG00005015059.1)
Source: RNAcentral